This 459-nucleotide ribosomal RNA is filed under the name uncultured bacterium. RNAcentral's name for it is "partial 16S ribosomal RNA". It matches the Rfam family "Bacterial small subunit ribosomal RNA", at positions 338 to 795 of the family's 1533-position model. The record is from RNAcentral.
CCUACGGGAGACAGCAGUGAGGAAUAUUGGUCAAUGGACGAGAGUCUGAACCAGCCAAGUAGCGUGAAGGAUGACUGCCCUAUGGGUUGUAAACUUCUUUUAUAUGGGAAUAAAAUGUUCCACGUGUGGGAUUUUGUAUGUACCAUAUGAAUAAGGAUCGGCUAACUCCGUGCCAGCAGCCGCGGUAAUACGGAGGAUCCGAGCGUUAUCCGGAUUUAUUGGGUUAAAAGGGGCGUAGGUGGAUUGUUAAGUCAGUUGUGAAAGUUUGCGGCUCAACCGUAAAAUUGCAGUUGAAACUGGCAGUCUUGAGUACAGUAGAGGUGGGCGGAAUUCGUGGUGUAGCGGUGAAAUGCUUAGAUAUCACGAAGAACUCCGAUUGCGAAGGCAGUUCACUGGACUGCAACUGACACUGAGGCUCGAAAGUGUGGGUAUCAAACAGGAUUAGAUACCCGUGUAGUC